This 789-nucleotide long non-coding RNA is filed under the name Homo sapiens (human). RNAcentral describes it as "HSALNT0291606". Lineage: Eukaryota; Metazoa; Chordata; Mammalia; Primates; Hominidae. The record is from RNAcentral.
AGCAUCUCUCUCCAGAACCUCUUCUUGGGGACCCCUCUCUGAAGCCUCUUCUUGGGAGCAGCUUUCUGGAGGAAAACGGGCAGCAUAGUUGUGCUGUUGCUGAUGGAUGGAGAUGUGGAAAUGCUUCAUGCAGGGAUCCAGGGGGUCUGCUCGCACCGUGAUGGUGACCGGCUUCCGAAUACCCAGAGACUGCCUCUUCUCUACUGUCACAACAUCAAUUUCUUCAUUCUCUGUCCGAGAAAAGAGAUCAAGAGAAGAAACACAUCCCAUGAGAAACACAAACAUAGACCCUACAGCUUUAGCUGUCUACGCUGGUGCUUGGGAAGGUCGCCUGCCCCACCUCCUUCCCUGGACUAGAAGGUUAGAUUUGUAAUCAUAGGUCGGCGAAGCUGCAGGAACUUCACAAAGGUACAAGCGACCAUUUCCAAACUACCUGCACCAGAGGCAGAGACUGGGCAGCAGAAUGUCCCAGAUAUGGGGCUCAUAACACCAGAGACCUGGAGACACCUGGACACGCCCUUCUCAUUCACUGGCUUGAAGGUCUCUUAGGUUAACCUAACCAGGAGAGGGGCAAUUGGGAGAAAAGUCUCCUCCUGCUCCACACAUUUUGCAGCCUCCACACAGAAGUCCACCUUAAUGGAUCUCGGCCUCGCAAAGGAAGAGCUCCGUUCUCAGCUUCUUUGCAUAUCAGGAAGCUUGAGCCCCUUUGUCAGGAAGGCUUCCAUUGUGUGGACAAUCGCAUUAUUUCUCCAUUAAUAAACCUGACCAUUCAGCCCUCCUGGCCCCAAA